AUACGGAGGAUGCAAGCGUUAUCCGGAUUUAUUGGGUUUAAAGGGUGCGUAGGCGGAUGAUUAAGCGUGAGGUGAAAUGCCACUGCUCAACAGUGGAACUGCCUCGCGAACUGGUUGUCUUGAAUGCUCCUGCCGUGGGAGGAAUGUGUGGUGUAGCGGUGAAAUGCAUAGAGAUCACACAGAACACCGAUUGCGAAGGCAUCUCACGAAGGGGUGAUUGACGCUGAGGCACGAAAGCGUGGGGAUCAAACAGGAUUAGAUACCCUGGUAGUCCACGCAGUAAACGAUGAUAACUAACCGCUGGGUCGUAGUGAUUCAGUGGCCAAGCGAAAGCGAUAAGUUAUCCACCUGGGGAGUACGACCGCAAGGUUGAGACUCAAAUGAAUUGACGGGG
Molecule: ribosomal RNA, 394 nt
Filed under: uncultured bacterium
Lineage: Bacteria
Description: partial 16S ribosomal RNA
Rfam family: Bacterial small subunit ribosomal RNA
Source: RNAcentral